This 290-nucleotide ribosomal RNA is filed under the name uncultured bacterium. Its description in RNAcentral is "partial 16S ribosomal RNA". It matches the Rfam family "Bacterial small subunit ribosomal RNA", at positions 773 to 1060 of the family's 1533-position model. The record is from RNAcentral.
GUGGAUUAGAUACCCGGUAGUCCACGCCGUAAACGAUGAGUACUAGGUGUUGCGGGUAUUGACCCCUGCAGUGCCGCAGCUAACGCAUUAAGUACUCCGCCUGGGAAGUACGGUCGCAAGACUAAAACUCAAAGGAAUUGACGGGGGCCCGCACAAGCGGUGGAGCAUGUGGUUUAAUUCGACGCAACGCGCAGAACCGUACCUGGUCUUGACAUCUACGGAACCCUCCCGAAACGGAGGGGUGCCUUUCGGGGAGCCGUAAGACAGGUGCUGCACGGUCGUCGUCAGCU